Molecule: ribosomal RNA, 422 nt
Filed under: uncultured bacterium
Lineage: Bacteria
Description: partial 16S ribosomal RNA
Rfam family: Bacterial small subunit ribosomal RNA
Source: RNAcentral
AAUCUUCCACAAUGGACGAAAGUCUGAUGGAGCAACGCCGCGUGAGCGAAGAAGGUUUCCGGAUCGUAAAGCUCUGUUGCGAGGGAAGAACAAGUACGGGAGUAACUGCCCGUACCUUGACGGUACCUCGUCAGAAAUCCACGCCUAACUACGUGCCACCAGCCGCGGCAAUACGUAGGGGGCAAUCUUUGUCCGGGAUGUUUGGGCGUAAAGCGCGCGCAGGGGGUCCUUUAAGUCUGAUGUGAAAGCCCACGGCUCAACCGUGGAGGGUCAUUGGAAACUGGAGGACGUGAGUACAGGAGAGGAAAGCGGAAUUCCACGUGUAGCGGGGAAAUGCGUAGAGAUGUGGAGGAACACCAGUGGCGAAGGCGGCUUUCUGGUCUGUAACUGACGCUGAGGCGCGAAAGCGUGGGGAGCAAACA